GGACCCUACUGCUAUCGGGGUGGGACUAAGACAUGCGAGUCGAGCGUCUCUAGCUAUGUUGAGACGCGGCAGACGGCUCAGUAACACGUGGCUAACCUACCCUCAGGACAGGGACAACCCCGGGAAACUGGGACUAAUACCCGAUAGGUGAGGAUGCCUGGAAUGGUUUCUCGCUCAAAGGGUCUUGGAUACAUGCUUCCAAGUCGCCUGAGGAUGGGGCCGCGUCCGAUCAGGUUGUUGGUGAGGUAACGGCUCACCAAGCCUAUAACCGGUACGGGCCGUGAGAGCGGUAUCCCGGAGAUGGGUACUGAGACAAGGACCCAGGCCCUACGGGGCGCAGCAGUCGCGAAAACUCCGCAAUGCACGAAAGUGUGACGGGGCUACCCCGAGUGCUCUCCGCUGAGGAAAGCUUUUCCUUGGUGUAACUAGCCAGGGGAAUAAGGAGAGGGCAAGACUGGUGU
RNAcentral lists this ribosomal RNA (461 nucleotides) under uncultured archaeon. RNAcentral's name for it is "bacterial SSU rRNA". It matches the Rfam family "Archaeal small subunit ribosomal RNA", at positions 19 to 458 of the family's 1478-position model. The record is from RNAcentral.